Molecule: ribosomal RNA, 433 nt
Filed under: uncultured bacterium
Lineage: Bacteria
Description: partial 16S ribosomal RNA
Rfam family: Bacterial small subunit ribosomal RNA
Source: RNAcentral
AGCGAACGCUGGCGGCAGGCCUAACACAUGCAAGUCGAACGAACUCUUCGGAGUUAGUGGCGGACGGGUGAGUAACACGUGGGAACGUGCCUUUAGGUUCGGAAUAACUCAGGGAAACUUGUGCUAAUACCGAAUGUGCCCUUCGGGGGAAAGAUUUAUCGCCUUUAGAGCGGCCCGCGUCUGAUUAGCUAGUUGGUGAGGUAAAGGCUCACCAAGGCGACGAUCAGUAGCUGGUCUGAGAGUAUGAUCAGCCACAUUGGGACUGAGACACGGCCCAAACUCCUACGGGAGGCAGCAGUGGGGAAUCUUGCGCAAUGGGCGAAAGCCUGACGCAGCCAUGCCGCGUGAAUGAUGAAGGUCUUAGGAUUGUAAAAUUCUUUCACCGGGGACGAUAAUGACGGUACCCGGAGAAGAAGCCCCGGCUAACUUCGUG